This 875-nucleotide ribosomal RNA is filed under the name uncultured archaeon. RNAcentral's name for it is "bacterial SSU rRNA". It matches the Rfam family "Archaeal small subunit ribosomal RNA", at positions 21 to 903 of the family's 1478-position model. The record is from RNAcentral.
CCUGACUGCUAUCGGAUUGAUACUAAGCCAUGCGAGUCAUUGUAGUAAUACAAGGCAGACGGCUCAGUAACGCGUAGUCAACCUAACCUAUGGACGGGAAUAACCUCGGGAAACUGAGUAUAAUGCCCGAUAGAACAUUAUGCCUGGAAUGGUUUAUGUUCCAAAUGAUUUAUCGCCGUAGGAUGGGACUGCGGCCUAUCAGUUUGUUGGUGAGGUAAUGGCCCACCAAGACUAUUACAGGUACGGGCUCUGAGAGGAGUAGCCCGGAGAUGGGUACUGAGACACGGACCCAGGCCCUAUGGGGCGCAGCAGGCGAGAAAACUUUGCAAUGUGCGAAAGCACGACAAGGUUAAUCCGAGUGGUUUCUGCUAAAGGAACCUUUUGUUAGUCCUAGAAACACUAACGAAUAAGGGGUGGGCAAGUUCUGGUGUCAGCCGCCGCGGUAAAACCAGCACCUCAAGUGGUCAGGAUGAUUAUUGGGCCUAAAGCAUCCGUAGCCGGCUCUAUAAGUUUUCGGUUAAAUCUGUACGCUCAACGUACAGGCUGCCGGGAAUACUGCAGAGCUAGGGAGUGGGAGAGGUAGACGGUACUCGGGAGGAAGGGGUAAAAUCCUUUGAUCUCUCGAUGACCACCUGUGGCGAAGGCGGUCUACCAGAACACGUCCGACGGUGAGGGAUGAAAGCUGGGGGAGCAAACCGGAUUAGAUACCCGGGUAGUCCCAGCUGUAAACUAUGCAAACUCAGUGAUGCAUUGACUUGUGGUCAAUGCAGUGCUGCAGGGAAGCCGUUAAGUUUGCCGCCUGGGAAGUACGUACGCAAGUAUGAAACUUAAAGGAAUUGGCGGGGGAGCACCACAAGGGGUGAAGCCUGCGGUUC